GCAUGAAUCAGUGAUUUUCUUUAGAGUAUGAUUACGAAACUAGUUUGGUUCAUUGGUGCUUUGCCAUUGCUCUUAACUUCAGCAAGGUACCUAAAUACUUGUCCUUUCAGGAAUCGUCAGUUACUCACCAAACCACUUGUCUGAGAUCGGUAAAGAAUGUCUCAAAUCAACGUGAGGCAAUCGACAUCGCUUUGUGGACAGUUUUACAUUUGAAAGCAUUUCUUAGGAGUUGUUUGCCUUCGAAUGGGAGUGCCCAGCAGUGUUUGUUGGCUGAAGACUUGGCCUGGGAACAAAUCACCUUGAUAGUGGAGGUUGGGAGGUGAUACUAUUGUAUUCUGUGAAAGCAAAGUGCAAGCUGGCCUCUCCCUGCGUCCUCUUAUCUGCUGACUUAAAUUUGCAAGGCCUGGAGGGUAGGAAUCAAAGUAGUUCCUGCUGAGAUCCCAAAGCCAGAAGCUGUCACUCCAAAAGAGCUGGCUGGGCCACUCUGGACUAUAAGAGUUUGUACUGUCUUCAGUAGUCAUCAACCAAACAACAAAACCUUGGACAACCCACGUCUUCUGGAGAACAGUGCCUGACACCAAGAUGAAAACCACUGCACCACAUCUUGUGUUGGGCUGAUUUUUUUUCUUCAGACUGCAUUUCUGUGAUUCCUUUCAUCCAAUGGUGAUGGUGAUCAGUAAGUCUUCAUAAUCCUGUGGCACUGGAUAGCUUCAGUCAGAAACUGGAACCUUACUAGCUGGGUGAAUGCAAAAAUAAUGCAACAAAAAUACAAAUGUAGAGGACAGUGAGUAGCUUUUGGUUUUCAUUGUUAUCUUUGCUGUUGCUCUUAUCUACCUAUAUUAGGGAACAUUUCAUUAAAGUCCAGAAUUUUAUCUGUCAGCUUUUUCUUCACUAUCAUUGGCAUAAAGUAGCAAAAAGUGGACGGUAUUUUGACUCCAGUAAUCACGACUUGAUAAAUCUGUUAUAGGAUUUCAUUCCUUUGUACUUUUUGCUGAACUGUACUAUAUUUUAAAUAAUUUUCAGAGAAAUAUUUAAGUGUCAUAUCAUGUUUCCUGAUUGGUAUCACGGUC
Long non-coding RNA from Gallus gallus (chicken), 1070 nucleotides. The record is from Ensembl. NCBI's taxonomy places the organism in Eukaryota, Metazoa, Chordata, Aves, Galliformes, Phasianidae.